Molecule: ribosomal RNA, 253 nt
Filed under: uncultured bacterium
Lineage: Bacteria
Description: partial 16S ribosomal RNA
Rfam family: Bacterial small subunit ribosomal RNA
Source: RNAcentral
UACGAAGGGGGCUAGCGUUGCUCGGAAUCACUGGGCGUAAAGCGCACGUAGGCGGAUUGUUAAGUCAGGGGUGAAAUCCUGGAGCUCAACUCCAGAACUGCCUUUGAUACUGGAUGGCUUGAAUCCGGGAGAGGGAUGCAGAAUUCCAGGUGUAGCGGUGAAAUGCGUAGAUAUCUGGAGGAAUACCGGUGGCGGAGGCGGCAUCCUGGACCGGCAUUGACGCUGAGGAGCGAAAGCCAGGGGAGCAAACGGG